GACGAACGCUGGCGGCGUGCCUAAUACAUGCAAGUUGAGCGCUGAAGGUUGGUACUUGUACCAACUGGAUGAGCAGCGAACGGGUGAGUAACGCGUGGGGAAUCUGCCUUGAGCGGGGGACAACAUUUGGAAACGAAUGCUAAUACCGCAUAAAAACUUUAAACACAAGUUUUAAGUUUGAAAGAUGCAAUUGCAUCACUCAAAGAUGAUCCCGCGUUGUAUUAGCUAGUUGGUGAGGUAAAGGCUCACCAAGGCGAUGAUACAUAGCCGACCUGAGAGGGUGAUCGGCCACAUUGGGACUGAGACACGGCCCAAACUCCUACGGGAGGCAGCAGUAGGGAAUCUUCGGCAAUGGACGAAAGUCUGACCGAGCAACGCCGCGUGAGUGAAGAAGGUUUUCGGAUCGUAAAACUCUGUUGGUAGAGAAGAACGUUGGUGGGAGUGGAAAGCUCAUCAAGUGACGGUAACUACCCAGAAAGGGACGGCUAACUACGUG
RNAcentral lists this ribosomal RNA (496 nucleotides) under uncultured bacterium. Its description in RNAcentral is "partial 16S ribosomal RNA". It matches the Rfam family "Bacterial small subunit ribosomal RNA", at positions 28 to 507 of the family's 1533-position model. The record is from RNAcentral.